RNAcentral lists this ribosomal RNA (341 nucleotides) under uncultured cyanobacterium. RNAcentral describes it as "bacterial SSU rRNA". It matches the Rfam family "Bacterial small subunit ribosomal RNA", at positions 114 to 489 of the family's 1533-position model. The record is from RNAcentral. Lineage: Bacteria; Bacillati; Cyanobacteriota.
CACGUGAGAAUUGCCUUUGAGGGAUAACAAUUGGAAACGAAUGCUAAUACCCAUAUGCUUACUUAGUGAAAUGGAUUUUAUCCGCCGAAAGAGAAGCUCGCGGCUGAUUAGCUUGUUGGUAAGGUAAGAGCUUACCAAGGCGACGAUCAGUAUCUGGUUUGAGAGGACGAUCAGACACACUGGAACUGAGACACGGUCCAGACUCCUACGGGAGGCAGCAGUGGGGAAUUUUCCGCAAUGGGCGAAAGCCUGACGGAGCAAUACCGCGUGAGGGAAGACUGCCUAUGGGUUGUAAACCUCUUUUUUCAGGGAGGAAUUAAUGACGUGUACCUGAAGAAUAA